UGGGUAACCUACCCCAAUGACCGGGACAACUCGGGGAAACUCGAGCUAAUACCGGAUGUGUUCUCUCUCCUCAAGGAGUGAGAGCAAAGGUAGCUUCGGCCUCCGCAUUGGGAUGGGCCCGCGGCCCAUUAGCUUGUUGGUGGGGUAACGGCCUACCAAGGCUGCGAUGGGUAGCUGGUCUGAGAGGACGAUCAGCCACACUGGGACUGAGACACGGCCCAGACUCCUACGGGAGGNAG
This 239-nucleotide ribosomal RNA is filed under the name uncultured bacterium. Its description in RNAcentral is "partial 16S ribosomal RNA". It matches the Rfam family "Bacterial small subunit ribosomal RNA", at positions 118 to 351 of the family's 1533-position model. The record is from RNAcentral.